This 253-nucleotide ribosomal RNA is filed under the name uncultured bacterium. RNAcentral's name for it is "partial 16S ribosomal RNA". It matches the Rfam family "Bacterial small subunit ribosomal RNA", at positions 524 to 776 of the family's 1533-position model. The record is from RNAcentral.
UACGGAGGGGGCGAGCGUUAUUCGGAAUUAUUGGGCGUAAAGGGCGCGUAGGCGGCUUGAUGUGUCAAAGGUGAAAUCCCUCGGCUCAACUGAGGAACUGCCUUUGAAACUGUCUGGCUUGAGGCCGGGAGAGGGUAGCGGAAUUCCCAGUGUAGCGGUGAAAUGCGCAGAUAUCAGGAGGAACACCGGUGGCGAAGGCGGAUCUCUGGGCCUGUCCUGACGCUGAGGCGCGAAAGCUAGGGGAGCGAACAGG